This 1826-nucleotide long non-coding RNA is filed under the name Cinara cedri. Lineage: Eukaryota; Metazoa; Arthropoda; Insecta; Hemiptera; Aphididae. The record is from RNAcentral.
CAACGGCACCCUCGUAUUUCAUUGUUAGUUACGCGCAUACGGUUUACAGACCCUUCUGUCUGCGAUAUAGGGUGUUUUGUGGAGGGCGACUCGGGCUUUGAAGGGUGAAUUUGUCCGUUGGCGUUACUCUUGCUGGCCGUCCCCUCGUUUCGUCAAUGCGCACACUCGGAAACCAAUGGCAACGCAGCUGCAAUAGGGAAGGCAAAUGUUUUCUUCGAGGGACGUCAGACAAUUUCAUUUAGUAUUGAAGUUUGUUCCAUUACUUUCGGUUGUCUGUUUUGCUGUUCUGCUACAGCAGUCUUCUGCGUUAAUCAUGUAAUCUUAACGAGAUAGUUACAAAUGCAAUACCUAUCACUUGCUUUGUAACUAUCUCGUUAGUUCUCGCAAUGAUUUUUAUGUAAGUAUAUUAUAGGUAUUUAACAAUAAAAUAAACGUACCUUUGGAAUACAAUCAAAAUAAAAAAAAUAAGAAAACAUUUUCUUUCAUAUAUUUUUUAUUUCAUGUGGGUAUAUAUUAUAUACUAAGUAAAUAUCAAAUUUAUACAAAUUUGUAUUGAUUGUAUUUGUUGUCUUUAAAAUUAUUUUAUCUUUAAUAAAAUACAUUGGGGAUGAGCUGAUACACUUGAUAUUAGUGGUUUAAAAAAAAUAUAUUUAUUUUCGAAAACAAAUAUUUCUGUAAUGUCUAGAAUAUCAAAAAAAUAUUUCUAUUAAUUUAAUUUAACCCAACUCAUGGUUUUUGAUUUCAACUUUUGGUUUUAUAUUGGUACCUAGCAUAUAUAUUAGAUUUCAGUAAAACAUGGUAUCAAAUAUUAUAAAUGAUUUAUUAUAUUUGGUGGUAUUGGCCCAUUCUUAUACAAUAUAUACCUACUUAUAUAUGUGUACCUGGUUAAAUAUAUUAUGUAUGUUUUGUUUUUGUUUUUAUUAUAGUGCUCAACUACAACGCUGGCAUCCAUAACACUCAAAACACCUUCCAACUAUUAAGAGGAUUGUAGUUAACAAAUCAAAUCAAUACCUAUCUAGAUACUAAUGGCUUUAUCGAGUGAAAUCAAUUUUUUAUUAAAUUUAGUGUUUUAAACUUAUAAUUUAUUUAUAAUGCAUUUCAUUUUUUAAACAUAAAUAUUAUGGUAAUCAUGCAGUGGCGUACCCAGAGAGAAACAAUGGGACUUCAGCUCCUAUUGGGUGUAUUAUAAUACAAUAAAUAAUAAAAAAUAUUCAGCAUUAAAAAAUCCUGGGUACAUCCGCCACUUCAACCAUGAGUUUAAGGUCAAAAAUUCUUAUGUGCGUAUAUCAACAAUAAAUAGAAUAUUUAAUUGCAUUCUUGGUACAGUCGUUUUCAUCCAGCGGCUGAAAAUGUCUGCGCCAAGAACGUAAGCUUUUCAUUGUCGAUAUACGCACAUGCGGGUUUUUUGACCGUGGCCUACAUUUAUAAUAUUUAUGCAAAAAUAUAUUUUUUUUAUCAGUUAUUAUUGUAAUUCAAUUUUAAAUAUCCAAUGUUCUUGUUAAUUUUAAAAUAUUACUUACUUUGUAAGUUGUAACAUUGUAGAUUGACUUUUAUGUAGUUUAAAAUGUUUAAUACCUACCAUAACUAAAACAUACUGUAUUGAUAGCAAUGAUUAAUGUUUGAAUAUAAAUCUAGAUUUAUAUUCAAACAUUAAUUUGUAUACUUAUUCUUUUGUUCACAUUUAUAUUUAAAUCAAAUAAACUAUAAUUAUUUUCAAAUAUAUUUAUCAAUGUGUAUAAUUUAUUUACAUUGUUACUUAUAAAUUAUAUAAUGAACAUCUUAGUAUAUUAGUUUAACUGCAAUAAAAAUGUUGGUAUCGAAUGGUG